RNAcentral lists this long non-coding RNA (320 nucleotides) under Physcomitrium patens. RNAcentral describes it as "long non-coding RNA (PPAT_LNC006721)". The record is from RNAcentral. Lineage: Eukaryota; Viridiplantae; Streptophyta; Bryopsida; Funariales; Funariaceae.
GUGAGGGCUCAGUAUUACAAUUGGAGAUUAUGACAAUGAAUAUAUUGGUAGAAAUAGCAGUUAUUGGUAUGACUAAAUUGCUGUAAGGAAGAGACCAAUAAGGUGAAGGAGGAGAUUAUAGUUUCCUUGUAUAUUCAAAUAUUAGAAAUAGAGAUGAUAAAUUCAAGAGGUAAUUGAUUGUGUGAUCCUAACGUGAAUGCUUAAGCAACUAGUCAUUCCCUGUGUUUGAAUCCCCCUACACGAGUUUAUUCUGGGAGGUUUCUUCUGAAAUAAGUAAAAUGAGCAAUCACAAUUAUAUUAAAAGAUACAAAAGAUCUCUU